GUUAAUUACAAAGUUUAUUACUAUAUCAUCAUUAUGUCUUGAUGAGUAAGAGGGCCGCGGCGAUGAGCGCAGAAGGGUCUGGGCGAGAGCCCGCCUGGAGCCGUCGCUGGUGCAGAUCUUGGUGGUAGUAGCAAAUACUCCAGCGAGGCCCUGGAGGACUGAUGUGGAGAAGGGUUUCUUGUGAACAGCUGUUGCACAAGAGUCAGUCGAUCCUAAGCCCUAGGAGAAAUCCGAAGCGAUAUGCGCCCGUUAAAUAAUUUUUUUUUAUUAAAUGUUUGGCGCUAUCUGGGCGAAAGGGAAUCCGGUUCCUAUUCCGGAACCCGGCAGCGGAACCGUUCCAAAUCGGGCUCUCAUUUGAGAACUCGUCGGGGUAACCCGACAAGACCCGGAGACGCCGUAGGGAAAUUCGGAGAGAGUUGUCUCUUCUCUAUAAGCGUUCGAGUUCCCUGGAAACCUCUAGCAGGGAGAUAGGGUUUGGAACGCGAAGAGCACCGCAGUUACGGCGGUGUCCGGAUCUUCCCUACGGACCUUGAAAAUCCGGGAGAGGGCCACGAGGAACCCCGCGCCGGCUCGUACCCAUAUCCGCAGCAGGUCUCCAAGGUCAAUAGCCUCUAGUCGAUAGAAUAAUGUAGGUAAGGGAAGUCGGCAAAUCCGAUCCGUAACUUCGGGAUAAGGAUUGGCUCUGAGGACUGAGUCGUGCCGGGCUUGGUCGGGAAGUGGAGCGGUGUCAACGUGCCGGGCCUGGGCGAGGAGAAAAUUGCGUUUCUGCGCUUUUGGAUCCGAGCUCGGUCCCGUGCCUGGCCACCCGGAUCUUCCUUGCUGCGAGUCGUUAGCCGUGUGGUUACCGCUGGCUUUUGCUAGCUGGUCGACCUGGCUUACGAUCUCUUCGGCCGACAUUCAACAGUCAACUCAGAACUGGCACGGACAAGGGGAAUCCGACUGUCUAAUUAAAACAAAGCAUUGCGAUGGCCCCAACGGGUGUUGACGCAAUGUGAUUUCUGCCCAGUGCUCUGAAUGUCAAAGUGAAGAAAUUCAAGCAAGCGCGGGUAAACGGCGGGAGUAACUAUGACUCUCUUAAGGUAGCCAAAUGCCUCGUCAUCUAAUUAGUGACGCGCAUGAAUGGAUUAACGAGAUUCCCUCUGUCCCUAUCUACUAUCUAGCGAAACCACGGCCAAGGGAACGGGCUUGGAAAAAUCAGCGGGGAAAGAAGACCCUGUUGAGCUUGACUCUAGUCUGGUACUGUAAGAAAACAUGAGAGGUGUAGCAUAAGUGGGAGGUAGUUUUUUUAAACUGCCGACAAUGAAAUACCACUACUUUCAUUGUUUCCUUACUUACUCGGUGAGGCGGAGGGCGUCCGUCGGGGUGAUACCACCUCGGCGUGACGGUAUUCUCGUGCCAAACGCCAAGGGUUGUCGACGUUCGAUCGUACGCCUUGUCGCGUUAAGAUGUGGAUAUUC
Rhodnius prolixus is the source of this 1457-nucleotide ribosomal RNA. It matches the Rfam family "Eukaryotic large subunit ribosomal RNA", at positions 1328 to 2587 of the family's 3401-position model. Lineage: Eukaryota; Metazoa; Arthropoda; Insecta; Hemiptera; Reduviidae. The record is from Rfam.